CAAUGCCUGAGACCGGCGCACGGGUGCGUAACGCGUAUGCAAUCUACCUUUUACAGGGGAAUAGCCCAGAGAAAUUUGGAUUAAUGCCCCAUGGUAUUAUAGAAUGGCAUCAUUUUAUGAUUAAAGUUCCAACGGUAAAAGAUGAGCAUGCGUCCCAUUAGUUAGUUGGUAAGGUAACGGCUUACCAUGACGAUGAUGGGUAGGGGUCCUGAGAGGGAGAUCCCCCACACUGGUACUGAGACACGGACCAGACUCCUACGGGAGGCAGCAGUGAGGAAUAUUGGACAAUGGGCGCAAGCCUGAUCCAGCCAUGCCGCGUGCAGGAAGAAGCAUCUAUGGUGUGUAAACUGCUUUUGUACAGGAAGAAACAUCCCGACGUGUCGGGACUUGACGGUACUGUAAGAAUAAGGAUCGGCUAACUCCGUGCCAGCAGCCGCGGUAAUACGGAGGAUCCAAGCGUUAUCCGGAAUCAUUGGGUUUAAAGGGUCCGUAGGCGGUUUAAUAAGUCAGUGGUGAAAUCUGGUCGCUCAACGAUCAAACGGCCAUUGAUACUGUUAGACUUGAAUUAUUGUGAAGUAACUAGAAUAUGUAGUGUAGCGGUGAAAUGCUUAGAUAUUACAUGGAAUACCAAUUGCGAAGGCAGGUUACUAACAAUGGAUUGACGCUGAUGGACGAAAGCGUGGGGAGCGAACAGGAUUAGAUACCCUGGUAGUCCACGCCCGUAACGAUGGAUACUAGCUGUUGGGAUUUAUCU
Molecule: ribosomal RNA, 754 nt
Filed under: uncultured bacterium
Lineage: Bacteria
Description: bacterial SSU rRNA
Rfam family: Bacterial small subunit ribosomal RNA
Source: RNAcentral